RNAcentral lists this ribosomal RNA (484 nucleotides) under uncultured bacterium. RNAcentral describes it as "partial 16S ribosomal RNA". It matches the Rfam family "Bacterial small subunit ribosomal RNA", at positions 30 to 507 of the family's 1533-position model. The record is from RNAcentral.
AUUGAACGCUGGCGGCAGGCCUAACACAUGCAAGUCGAGCGGAUGAAGGGAGCUCGCUCCUGGAUUCAGCGGCGGACGGGUGAGUAAUGCCUAGGAAUCUGCCUGGUAGUGGGGGAUAACGUCCGGAAACGGGCGCUAAUACCGCAUACGUCCUGAGGGAGAAAGUGGGGGAUCUUCGGACCUCACGCUAUCAGAUGAGCCUAGGUCGGAUUAGCUAGUUGGUGGGGUAAAGGCCUACCAAGGCGACGAUCCGUAACUGGUCUGAGAGGAUGAUCAGUCACACUGGAACUGAGACACGGUCCAGACUCCUACGGGAGGCAGCAGUGGGGAAUAUUGGACAAUGGGCGAAAGCCUGAUCAAGCCAUGCCGCGUGUGUGAAGAAGGUCUUCGGAUUGUAAAGCACUUUAAGUUGGGAGGAAGGGCAGUAAGUUAAUACCUUGCUGUUUUGACGUUACCAAAAGAAUAAGCAACGGCUAACUUCGUG